Molecule: ribosomal RNA, 375 nt
Filed under: uncultured Pseudomonadota bacterium
Lineage: Bacteria; Pseudomonadati; Pseudomonadota
Description: bacterial SSU rRNA
Rfam family: Bacterial small subunit ribosomal RNA
Source: RNAcentral
GAGCGAACGCUGGCGGAAUGCCUAACACAUGCAAGUCGCGCGGCUUCGGGGCUUCGGCUUCGGGGCAGCGGCGGACGGGUGAGGAGCGCGUAGGAACGUGCCCGGGGGUGGGGACAACGCCGGGAAACUGGCGCUAAUACCGCAUGUCUCCCUUGGGAGAAAAGGCCCCUUCGGGGGCCGCCUUCGGAGCGGCCUGCGCCCGAUUAGCUUGUUGGCGGGGUAACGGCCCACCAAGGCGACGAUCGGUAGCUGGUCUGAGAGGAUGACCAGCCACACUGGGACUGAGACACGGCCCAGACUCCUACGGGAGGCAGCAGUGGGGAAUUUUCCGCAAUGGGCGCAAGCCUGACGGAGCAAGACCGCGUGGGGGAGGAA